RNAcentral lists this ribosomal RNA (1346 nucleotides) under uncultured bacterium. Its description in RNAcentral is "partial 16S ribosomal RNA". It matches the Rfam family "Bacterial small subunit ribosomal RNA", at positions 28 to 1381 of the family's 1533-position model. The record is from RNAcentral.
GACGAACGCUGGCGGCGUGCUUAACACAUGCAAGUCGAACGGAAAGGCCCUGCUUUUGUGGGGUGCUCGAGUGGCGAACGGGUGAGUAACACGUGAGUAACCUGCCCUUGACUUUGGGAUAACUUCAGGAAACUGGGGCUAAUACCGGAUAGGAGCUCCUGCCGCAUGGUGGGGGUUGGAAAGUUUCGGCGGUUGGGGAUGGACUCGCGGCUUAUCAGCUUGUUGGUGGGGUAGUGGCUUACCAAGGCUUUGACGGGUAGCCGGCCUGAGAGGGUGACCGGCCACAUUGGGACUGAGAUACGGCCCAGACUCCUACGGGAGGCAGCAGUGGGGAAUAUUGCACAAUGGGCGGAAGCCUGAUGCAGCAACGCCGCGUGCGGGAUGACGGCCUUCGGGUUGUAAACCGCUUUCGCCUGUGACGAAGCGUGAGUGACGGUAAUGGGUAAAGAAGCACCGGCUAACUACGUGCCAGCAGCCGCGGUGAUACGUAGGGUGCGAGCGUUGUCCGGAUUUAUUGGGCGUAAAGGGCUCGUAGGUGGUUGAUCGCGUCGGAAGUGUAAUCUUGGGGCUUAACCCUGAGCGUGCUUUCGAUACGGGUUGACUUGAGGAAGGUAGGGGAGAAUGGAAUUCCUGGUGGAGCGGUGGAAUGCGCAGAUAUCAGGAGGAGCACCAGUGGCGAAGGCGGUUCUCUGGGCCUUUCCUGACGCUGAGGAGCGAAAGCGUGGGGAGCGAACAGGCUUAGAUACCCUGGUAGUCCACGCUGUAAACGGUGGGUACUAGGUGUGGGGUCCAUUCCACGGGUUCCGUGCCGUAGCUAACGCUUUAAGUACCCCGCCUGGGGAGUACGGCCGCAAGGCUAAAACUCAAGGGAAUUGACGGGGCCCCGCACAAGCGGCGGAGCAUGCGGAUUAAUUCGAUGCAACGCGUAGAACCUUACCUGGGUUUGACAUGGAUCGGGAGUGCUCAGAGAUGGGUGUGCCUCUUUUGGGGUCGGUUCACAGGUGGUGCAUGGCUGUCGUCAGCUCGUGUCGUGAGAUGUUGGGUUAAGUCCCGCAACGAGCGCAACCCUUGUUCACUGUUGCCAGCACGUUAUGGUGGGGACUCAGUGGAGACCGCCGGGGUCAACUCGGAGGAAGGUGGGGAUGACGUCAAGUCAUCAUGCCCCUUAUGUCCAGGGCUUCACGCAUGCUACAAUGGCUGGUACAGAGAGUGGCGAGCCUGUGAGGGUGAGCGAAUCUCGGAAAGCCGGUCUCAGUUCGGAUUGGGGUCUGCAACUCGACCACAUGAAGUCGGAGUCGCUAGUAAUCGCAGAUCAGCAACGCUGCGGUGAAUACGUUCCCGGGGCU